GACGAACGCUGGCGGCGUGCCUAAUACAUGCAAGUUGAGCGCUGAAGGUUGGUACUUGUACCAACUGGAUGAGCAGCGAACGGGUGAGUAACGCGUGGGGAAUCUGCCUUUGAGCGGGGGACAACAUUUGGAAACGAAUGCUAAUACCGCAUAAAAACUUUAAACACAAGUUUUAAGUUUGAAAGAUGCAAUUGCAUCACUCAAAGAUGAUCCCGCGUUGUAUUAGCUAGUUGGUGAGGUAAAGGCUCACCAAGGCGAUGAUACAUAGCCGACCUGAGAGGGUGAUCGGCCACAUUGGGACUGAGACACGGCCCAAACUCCUACGGGAGGCAGCAGUAGGGAUCUUCGGCAAUGGACGAAAGUCUGAACGAGCAACGCCGCGUGAGUGAAGAAGGUUUUCGGAUCGUAAAACUCUGUUGGUAGAGAAGAACGUUGGUGAGAGUGGAAAGCUCAUCAAGUGACGGUAACUACCCAGAAAGGGACGGCUAACUACGUG
RNAcentral lists this ribosomal RNA (496 nucleotides) under uncultured bacterium. RNAcentral describes it as "partial 16S ribosomal RNA". It matches the Rfam family "Bacterial small subunit ribosomal RNA", at positions 28 to 507 of the family's 1533-position model. The record is from RNAcentral.